UACGUAGGGUGCAGGCGUUAAUCGGAAUCACUGGGCAUAAAGCGCACGUAGGCGGCCAAGUCAGUCAGGUGUGAAAUACCUCGGCUCAACCGAGGAACUGCGCCUGAUACUGCUUGGCUUGAGGUCCGGAGGGGAGAGUGGAAUUCCCGGUGGAGCGGUGAAAUGCGUAGAGAUCGGGAAGAACGCCGGCGGCGAAAGCGACUCUCUGGUCGGAAUCUGACGCUGAGGUGCGAAAGCUAGGGGAGCAAACGGG
This 253-nucleotide ribosomal RNA is filed under the name uncultured bacterium. RNAcentral's name for it is "partial 16S ribosomal RNA". It matches the Rfam family "Bacterial small subunit ribosomal RNA", at positions 524 to 776 of the family's 1533-position model. The record is from RNAcentral.